Molecule: ribosomal RNA, 519 nt
Filed under: Hypotermes xenotermitis
Lineage: Eukaryota; Metazoa; Arthropoda; Insecta; Blattodea; Termitidae
Description: partial 12S ribosomal RNA
Source: RNAcentral
UAAAAGGGAACACACGAAUGAGCCUACCCCGUAAUUAUAGUUAGCCCGGAGGCUAGUAUCUUUACACCGUUGUAAUAUAAAAUGAUUGCCCGUAAAAUAGCGUAAACUUGGGGAUUGAUACCCUAUUAUUUUGAGUGUUAAUGUUUUUACCUGAGUAGUAUUAGUUGUGUUCUUGAAACUUAAAGAAUUUGGCGGUAUCCUACUCCGUUCAGAGGAAUCUGUCUCGUUAUCGAUAGUCCGCGUUGGACCUUACUUAGGGUUAAUUUUGGUUUGUAUACCGCCGUUUAUUGAUUAUCUUUUUAGAGUAUCAUGAAUUUUCUGGUUUCUUUAAUUUGAUUUAUUGCAGGUCAAGGUGCAGCUUUUUCUAAGUGUAAUGAUGGAUUACAGUGUUAUGUGUUGUUUGGAUUGUUUAUUUUAAUAUUGGCAUGAAAUUGGAUUUGGUUGUAAUGUUUUGUAGAUUGUUUUCAUGAUAGUUGGUUCUAGGAUAUGUACACAUCGCCCGUCGCUCUCAAUUAACCC